This 1801-nucleotide small RNA is filed under the name Vigna angularis var. angularis. RNAcentral's name for it is "Non-protein coding transcript". The stretch from base 435 to 560 matches the Rfam family "MIR4414 microRNA precursor family". The record is from RNAcentral. Lineage: Eukaryota; Viridiplantae; Streptophyta; Magnoliopsida; Fabales; Fabaceae.
CCCAUCUCCUCUUCCUCCAUCGUGUCUCUCUCUGUGAAAACAUUUUUCUAAUGGUUUUCUAGAGGCCCUAACCAUCCAAAAAUUCCUUUAUGUAUAAAUAUAAGUAUAAAUCUUCCCUAGCUUGCUAAUACAGUGUCUUUGCCCACAAGAAAUGGUAUGCCAUUAGGGCUACAUUGCUUUCUCAAUGGGUAGCUUUUUCCUUUGACGAAUAUCUCAGUACUCAGUAAAUUAUAUGUAUAUAAUUCUCUUCCUAUUUUUACGCUAUCGAUGUUAACUUUGCUGUGCUUCAAACACCAGCACGCAUGCAUGUGAUUGCAUAUUGUCUGUGAUGAGCUAAUAGAGUCCGUUGAAUUUAUUAUUGUCCAUGUGGGUGGUGAAUUGCUUGAGGGUUACCGAAGGGGCUCACUUCAGUCCAGUCCGAGGCGGUGAAGACGGCUGAGACUCAGCUGCUGACUCGUUGGUUCAAGAGCUCACCAUCAAGGUAAAUGUCGGUCCAUGGUCCAUGUAACAAUAAAGGUGGUGUGCUUCUGAUACAACGAUGCGGGAGCUGCAUCCAGUCGUGACUGUCACGUCUUGGACUGAAGGGGCCUCUUCAGCUCCUCUAUCUAUUGAGCUCCUGUUAAUUUUCUGCCAAAUUCAUAUUUUGUUGAUGGCAGUUCAUUCUUGAUAUGCUCCUGUAAAUUUCUGCCAAAAUAUUUUGUUGAAUGCAGUUCGUUCUGGACGAAAAUAUUUGGAAAUACUAUAAUAAACAAAAUCUUAUUAGAUAAGGUCAUCUAUAUGGUAAAACAAGUUUUGGUCGCUUAACCUUUCUACUUUCUAUGAUGUAAUAGAUUGACAUGAGAUCCUUACUGUGAUGAACUGAACUAUUUUAACUAAGCAUGGUCUUGAUCCGUUAACAAGCUAUUUUCUUUAAGAGACUUUGGAAAUAGUGGUCAUCUACGACGAAAGUACUGGCAAGGCUCCUAGUGGAUCUACAUUGGCCGCUUGGCCACUGGUUUGUCAACUUCUGAUAAUGCUCAGAUGCUUCUGAAAGGGAAAAACUUCCUUUGAAGGAUUUGGUAGGCGAAGCAGUAUGUGACAUUUCAUGGAUCACUAGAUAUGUGAUAUAUUUGGAAGUUUAAUUACUUUAGUCUUAAUUCAGUGACAUGCAAAUUGAAUUUGUAAAAGGGUAUAUAUAUGGUUGUGUGGGAGAUCUAUUUACCCAAUAUUUGUUCUAAAGAGAGACUUGAAAAAUAAUCAAAUGCAGGAGUUGGUGAUGAAAUAUUCCAAGAAACAUACAAUUUUGGUAGCAGUAUCGGGCACAAUGCUAUUUGUAGAACUGAAAGUCCAUUGGAUUAAUAUAUAUGAAAGUGGACGUGUUGAGGUACUUUUAUUUACCAAGUCCAACAAUUGUCCAAGUUUAUUGAAUUUGUAGACGUAAAGCUAUUUUUGUUUAUGCUAAACAAUUGUGUAUCUUCAUUAUUAGAUUCCUGUUGUUGUAAAGUUGAAUUACAUUAAAUUUGAAGUGAUUGGUAGUGAAUGUUACUUACAGUUUGUACACUCAUUUUUUUUAUAUGGAGCAGAAGUGGAAGAGCAGAUGGAAUGGUUGAAGAUGGAAUCCGAAUCAGUUCCCGUGAAGAUCGUACUCAUUAUGAAGGAUUGAAUGACUGAUAAGGAGAAGUGAAGUUUGUAAAUAUAUUGAAUUAAUGAGAUAGAAUAUGAAAAGAGCAUAGUUUUCAUUGAUGCUGUAUUAUGUAGUCUUUAGUUUUGUUUGUAUCUCUAUAGGUUGAAUAAUUUUAAGCUGUGUUCUUGAAAGUGUUGC